CCCCACUCCUACGGGAGGCAGCAGUGGGGAAUAUUGCACAAUGGGCGCAAGCCUGAUGCAGCCAUGCCGCGUGUAUGAAGAAGGCCUUCGGGUUGUAAAGUACUUUCAGCGAGGAGGAAGGGAGUGUAGUUAAUACCCUCACUCAUUGACGUUACUCGCAGAAGAAGCACCGGCUAACUCCGUGCCAGCAGCCGCGGUAAUACGGAGGGUGCAAGCGUUAAUCGGAAUUACUGGGCGUAAAGCGCACGCAGGCGGUUGGUUAAGUCAGAUGUGAAAUCCCCGGGCUCAACUUGGGAACUGCAUUUGAAACUGGUCAGCUUGAGUCUUGUAGAGGGGGGUAGAAUUCCAGGUGUAGCGGUGAAAUGCGUAGAGAUCUGGAGGAAUACCGGUGGCGAAGGCGGCCCCCUGGACAAAGACUGACGCUCAGGUGCGAAAGCGUGGGGAGCAAACAGGAUUAGAAACCCCGGUAGUCCGAA
This 476-nucleotide ribosomal RNA is filed under the name Cronobacter sp. RNAcentral's name for it is "bacterial SSU rRNA". It matches the Rfam family "Bacterial small subunit ribosomal RNA", at positions 331 to 799 of the family's 1533-position model. The record is from RNAcentral. Lineage: Bacteria; Pseudomonadati; Pseudomonadota; Gammaproteobacteria; Enterobacterales; Enterobacteriaceae.